GUAGCGGUGAAAUGCGUAGAGAUCUGAAGGAAUACCGGUGGCGAAGGCGGCCCCCUGGACAGAUACUGACACUCAGAUGCGAAAGCGUGGGGAGCAAACAGGAUUAGAUACCCUGGUAGUCCACGCCGUAAACGAUGUCUACUUGGAGGUUGUGGCCUUGAGCCGUGGCUUUCGGAGCUAACGCGUUAAGUAGACCGCCUGGGGAGUACGGUCGCAAGAUUAAAACUCAAAUGAAUUGACGGGGGCCCGCACAAGCGGUGGAGCAUGUGGUUUAAUUCGAUGCAACGCGAAGAACCUUACCUACUCUUGACAUCCAGAGAACUUUCCAGAGAUGGAUUGGUGCCUUCGGGAACUCUG
RNAcentral lists this ribosomal RNA (357 nucleotides) under Vibrio parahaemolyticus. Its description in RNAcentral is "bacterial SSU rRNA". It matches the Rfam family "Bacterial small subunit ribosomal RNA", at positions 675 to 1031 of the family's 1533-position model. The record is from RNAcentral. Lineage: Bacteria; Pseudomonadati; Pseudomonadota; Gammaproteobacteria; Vibrionales; Vibrionaceae.